GUCAAGAAGGAAGGCUUAACCCCCAC
RNAcentral lists this non-coding RNA (26 nucleotides) under Cricetulus griseus (Chinese hamster). The record is from RNAcentral. Lineage: Eukaryota; Metazoa; Chordata; Mammalia; Rodentia; Cricetidae.